Long non-coding RNA from Octodon degus (degu), 157 nucleotides. RefSeq lists it as uncharacterized. The transcript has 2 exons. Lineage: Eukaryota; Metazoa; Chordata; Mammalia; Rodentia; Octodontidae. The record is from RefSeq and is a predicted model, not a curated record.
CCACACCAUGGAUUAGAGCAGUGGAUGCUGAGAGCUUCAAUACAACAGCUGGUGACUCCAGUCCAGGCAACUGCUGUGUCCCAAAGAGAAGUUACAGCACUGACAUAUCCUGAGGUGGAUGGGCCACAACACUGGAGGCUUGACAUCACAGAGAAAC